AUUGAACGCUGGCGGCAUGCCUAACACAUGCAAGUCGAACGGCAGCACAGUAUGUAGCAAUACAUAUGGGUGGCGAGUGGCGGACGGGUGGGUAACGCGUGGGAAUCUGCCCUAUAGUGGGGGACAACCCGACGAAAGUCGGGCUAAUACCGCAUACGCCUACGGGGAAGGCUUCAGCCGCUAUUGGAUGAGCCCGCGUCGGAUUAGCUAGUUGGUGAGGUAAAGGCUCACCAAGGCGACGAUCCGUAGCUGGUCUGAGAGGAUGAUCAGCCACACUGGGACUGAGACACGGCCCAGACUCCUACGGGAGCAGCAGUGGGGAAUAUUGGACAAUGGGCGAAAGCCUGAUCCAGCAAUGCCGCGUGAGUGAUGAAGGCCUUAGGGUUGUAAAGCUCUUUUACCCGGGAUGAUAAUGACAGUACCGGAGAAUAAGCCCCGGCUAACUCCGUGCCAGCAGCCGCGGUAAU
RNAcentral lists this ribosomal RNA (467 nucleotides) under uncultured bacterium. RNAcentral describes it as "bacterial SSU rRNA". It matches the Rfam family "Bacterial small subunit ribosomal RNA", at positions 30 to 524 of the family's 1533-position model. The record is from RNAcentral.